RNAcentral lists this long non-coding RNA (254 nucleotides) under Capsicum annuum. RNAcentral's name for it is "long non-coding RNA (CANN_LNC007045)". Lineage: Eukaryota; Viridiplantae; Streptophyta; Magnoliopsida; Solanales; Solanaceae. The record is from RNAcentral.
UGAUUGUUUCUUUCAACUUAUACAAAAAAAUUUCUUCAAAGAAAUAACAGUAAGUGUGAUUUACUUCAUUCAUUGAGUUCGUUGAAGUUCUGCAAUUUGUAUUGCCAGUAUUGUAGAAUAGUGUUCUGUUAUACCCUGAGAGGAAUUAAUCUAAAUCUUGGGUAAUUGCGAGGGGAUUAAAUUCUUUAAGACAUUUUGCGGGCUUAAAGUUAGAUUUUUUCUAUCAUUUUGUGGUUCUGUUUUGCAGGAAAAAC